This 954-nucleotide long non-coding RNA is filed under the name Bemisia tabaci. Its description in RNAcentral is "lncRNA ENSSSA1NGG000365". The record is from RNAcentral. Lineage: Eukaryota; Metazoa; Arthropoda; Insecta; Hemiptera; Aleyrodidae.
CAUCAUUUAUAAAUAUAAUAUGAAUGAUUCCUUAAGUAUGUAUAUAGCGCGGCAACCUUGAUUUCAAAAAUGAUCUCAUCUCAGCAUCUAUUAUCUAAUCGGUAAAUCAGAUUUAUCACGAAUACAGACUAUUAAAUUAUUUAAAGCCUUAGUGCGGAAAGGGUUACCUAUUUUACUUUAACGACCAAUAAAAUCAAGUAUAAUGAUUCGAGUUCAUUUUUAAUGGAGGGUCGGUGCUUUUAUUGCCUUAAAAGAGAUAGCUCUGCUGAGGUCGGCUCGGUUUUUUUAUUUACCUGUCUUGUAAUUGCGGUGUUUAAGAUCUAAUUUUUCUAUUUAUCUCUUUUCUCGACUCUCACUACCUAAAGUCUGAAGAUUUUCAUACUCUUGUGCGAAAGAUAUCGCGAAAAAAAGCAUCAUCUCUCAACAAGAAAAUUGGCACUCCAGGAAAGCAGUCGAGGAAAAUGUUACCGGGCAUUGGGAAUGGAUGGACAACACGUGCGGUUUGAAUUUUACAACAAUUUGACAACUGAGGCUUAUUACCUUGAGACCUCCGCACACAGAGAGAAACAACAUAUCUGCUAUUGACAUCCCUGCGCAGAUGUGCUUACUCAAGUAUGGCCAUGCAGUUGGACCUUUUCGAUAGACGUCAUCUAUAUGAAUCGUGGGUCGUGAGAUCUACAUGACUGUCCUCACAAAUUGCUCGUUAUUCGCUGUGUUAGAGUUUUUAAAAGGAUGUUCGCAUUUGUGCGUCACAGAAUCUUGUUUAAAUGACUGGACAUUGUAGUUUAGUAAAAUAUAAUGGGAUCUAAUAGGAUGCCUGGAUUCAACACGCAACAAGAAUAAAAACUUUCACUCCAAAAAACCUAAAAAGAUUACCACAGUUUCAAUGAAACCAUGGUUUUUCCACCUUUGUCUUAUUCAAGAUGCAUGUGGAACAAGCUAGGUGUUUUUUUC